This 137-nucleotide ribosomal RNA is filed under the name uncultured eukaryote. RNAcentral describes it as "partial 18S ribosomal RNA". It matches the Rfam family "Eukaryotic small subunit ribosomal RNA", at positions 1299 to 1458 of the family's 1831-position model. The record is from RNAcentral.
UGGUGGAGUGAUCUGUCUGGUUAAUUCCGAUAACGAACGAGACCUUAACCUGCUAAAUAGUUCAGUCAACUGUGGUUGAUUAGGACUUCUUAGAGGGACUAUUGAUGUUUAAUCAAUGGAAGUUUGAGGCAAUAACA